CAGCCGUAAACUAUGCUCGCUAGGUGUCAGGCAUGGCGCGACCGUGUCUGGUGCCGCAGGGAAGCCGUGAAGCGAGCCACCUGGGAAGUACGGCCGCAAGGCUGAAACUUAAAGGAAUUGGCGGGGGAGCACAACAACGGGUGGAGCCUGCGGUUUAAUUGGACUCAACGCCGGGAAGCUCACCGGAUAAGACAGCGGAAUGAUUGCCGGGCUGAAGACUCUGCAUGACUAGCUGAGAGGAGGUGCAUGGC
RNAcentral lists this ribosomal RNA (251 nucleotides) under uncultured archaeon. RNAcentral's name for it is "partial 16S ribosomal RNA". It matches the Rfam family "Archaeal small subunit ribosomal RNA", at positions 748 to 998 of the family's 1478-position model. The record is from RNAcentral.